GGCUGUUCCGAGGGGGGCUCCGACGAGGAGCUGAGAUACCGCUUGCUGGCAUUCGCAUGGAGCGAAUCACCAGGGCGCGGUGACCCUUUGAACCUGAUCCGGGUCAUGCCGGCGAAGGGACAGGGAUGUACCAGACCA
Molecule: non-coding RNA, 138 nt
Filed under: Rhodopseudomonas palustris
Lineage: Bacteria; Pseudomonadati; Pseudomonadota; Alphaproteobacteria; Hyphomicrobiales; Nitrobacteraceae
Description: TPP sequence
Rfam family: TPP riboswitch aptamer (THI element)
About the family: Vitamin B(1) in its active form thiamin pyrophosphate (TPP) is an essential coenzyme that is synthesised by coupling of pyrimidine and thiazole moieties in bacteria.
Source: RNAcentral